GAGGGUGUAGCUUAGUGGUAAAGCACCUGCUUAACACGAAGGAGGCUUGGUAUCAAUUCCCAGUACUGCUG
This 71-nucleotide transfer RNA is filed under the name Heterocephalus glaber (naked mole-rat). It matches the Rfam family "tRNA". From Rfam's summary of the family: Transfer RNA (tRNA) molecules are approximately 80 nucleotides in length. Lineage: Eukaryota; Metazoa; Chordata; Mammalia; Rodentia; Bathyergidae. The record is from Rfam by way of RNAcentral.